CGGGUGAGUAACGCGUGGGUAACCUGCCUUGUACUGGGGGACAACAGUUAGAAAUGACUGCUAAUACCGCAUAAGCGCACAGUAUCGCAUGAUACAGUGUGAAAAACUCCGGUGGUACAAGAUGGACCCGCGUCUGAUUAGCUAGUUGGUAAGGUAACGGCUUACCAAGGCGACGAUCAGUAGCCGACCUGAGAGGGUGACCGGCCACAUUGGGACUGAGACACGGCCCAG
RNAcentral lists this ribosomal RNA (231 nucleotides) under uncultured bacterium. RNAcentral's name for it is "partial 16S ribosomal RNA". It matches the Rfam family "Bacterial small subunit ribosomal RNA", at positions 103 to 334 of the family's 1533-position model. The record is from RNAcentral.